RNAcentral lists this ribosomal RNA (451 nucleotides) under uncultured bacterium. RNAcentral describes it as "partial 16S ribosomal RNA". It matches the Rfam family "Bacterial small subunit ribosomal RNA", at positions 28 to 523 of the family's 1533-position model. The record is from RNAcentral.
GAUGAACGCUGGCGGUGUGCCUAAUACAUGCAAGUCGAACGGGCUCUUCGGAGCUAGUGGCGGACGGGUGAGUAACACGUUGGUACCUACCCCUAAGUGGGGAAUAACUGCCCGAAAGGGUGGCUAAUACCGCAUAAUCCCGCAAGGGUAAAGCAGUAAUGCGCUUAGGGAGGGGCCUGCGUCUGAUUAGCUAGUUGGUAGGGUAAUUGCCUACCAAGGCGACGAUCAGUAGCUGGAUCGAGAGGUUGACCAGCCACACUGGGACUGAGAUACGGCCCAGACUCCUACGGGAGGCAGCAGUAAGGAAUCUUCCACAAUGGACGAAAGUCUGAUGGAGCAACACCGCGUGCAGGAUGACGGUCUUCGGAUUGUAAACUGCUUAUAUAUGGGAAGAUUAUGACGGUACCAUAUGAAUAAGGACCGGCUAACUACGUGCCAGCAGCCGCCGUAA